Long non-coding RNA from Andrographis paniculata, 1828 nucleotides. RefSeq lists it as uncharacterized. The record is from RefSeq and is a predicted model, not a curated record. NCBI's taxonomy places the organism in Eukaryota, Viridiplantae, Streptophyta, Magnoliopsida, Lamiales, Acanthaceae. The transcript is spliced from 4 exons.
UUUCUUUCUCCCUUCAUUCAUUUCUCCGAACUCUAAUUUUGGUUGAGUCGACGAAGCUUUUAUCGAAUUGCAAUUCGUUAUCUCUAUGUAUAACUGUAUUUGGUUUUGUGUAGCCAUUCACUUUUUAUAGUUAAGUUUCUCUAGUGUAUUAGGAAUGUUUGAGUUGAACUGCUAGAUGGGGAAAAUGUUUGCCAAAUCUAAUUAGAGUAACAAAGUUUUUCAGAUCUCGGCAACGGCGACGGCAGCAGAGAAGAUGAUGGUGGAACCGUGGAUACUGAAAUGAGGCAAUUAGGUUAGUUCCAACCUAAAGCUGGCUCUGUACCUCAAGAAUUAGUUAUGCAUUUUCUGACAUGAAUGGCAACCAAGUUCCCCAAAGUAUAGCUGGAGUUGCAUUCAAGAAAAUUCUUUAGGAGGCGGGAUUGCAUUUCAUGAAUAUGUCAUUUCUCUAAAUACAUGGCUAACUAAUGCAUUGCCCUUGGAACGAACAGAGCAAUGACAUAUCUGUCAAGGAAGCAAUAUCAAUUGUGAUGGACAGGAACCCAGAUUUAAGGAAAAAAGGCAUUGCGUAUGAAGUCUUACAGCGGUAGGAUGGAGGCUUGGUUUUGCUGCUUAUGCAGAAGACAUAUUCGUUGCAAGCAUAGGAUCAGGUAUGGUUGGCUCCUUAGUAUUGUCACUACAAAAAAAUAGUAUAUUUGUAACGGAAUUCCGUUCCUAAAGUUCACGUAGCUAACGUAAUUCCACCUCUAAUAUUAUUAGUAACGGAAAAAGUGGAUUUAACAACGAAAAAUUUUGUUAUAAAAUUGAUAUUUUUUUGUAGUGUGUCUUAUUUAUAUUAUGAGACUCUUGGAAAGAGAUAUCUAAUUAGAACUGUGUGCUAUGGAUGCAAUAUCGUAAAUCGCCACUUUUAUCCUAUACAAUUUAUAAUGCUUAUACUUCUUCAAUGAUACAUAUAGAUUGACAAUCUCUGUUGCAAGGCUUUAAAGAUUCUGACUUUUCUCCUUAUACAUACAUACAUACAUACAUUUCUGUUAGUGUUGCUGUAAUUUUAAUUCGCUUUGUGAUGUUCUAUUAUUUGUUAUUCUAAAUUAUGAAGUUGUCGAAGAGAAUUUGUACUGGAAAUAUAUUCGAAGAGAAUUUGUACUUCCUUGUGGUGUGUGUGGGCUAUAAUAUGUAAUAGCUCUAAUAUAUUCAUUAUAUGUAAUAAUGUCUAUGAUCUUCAAUACAUCUAUGGCCUGGCUGCUGUCCUAUACUUUCUCUUCCGGUAUAGCUAAAACUAUUAACGAUAAUGUCUCCCGGAAGAAGCAACAUGAGCUUCAGGGCAAAGGCGGAAUUCUAUCUUCUUGAUUCGGAGAUUUACUCGGUACAUCCUCUAAUUAUUUAUGUUCCUUAUUCAUUCAGUACUAUACUAUAUGCCUUAGAACACAACAAUGUUUAAAAAGUAUUCUUCCUCAGAAGCUAAUUCCUUGAACAAGACAGUGAACUUGCCGGAACUUCUUGAUACAAGACUCAGAAGUAGAAUUAUAAAAGUUAAACUAAAAAGAAGUUAAGACGGCCAUGUUGGUUUUUUCUCUCUUUUGCUUUUUUUGUCUAUUGCAGAUAAUUAAAGAUGCAACCAGAGUAGAUGAUUGAGGAUGUAGGAAGAACCAAGAAUGCUACAUGCAGAACAACAUGCACAGAGAGCAUGGCAGACCAGAUUUCUUACAAAAGUUUCAAUCAUGUUUUAACAAGGCAUUGCUGUCACUUUCCAUUGCACGAAGGCUUCCAAGAAGAAGGUUUGAGCUUUGGCUAAUUAUUUGUAAAACAACCACAUAAGUAAUAUAAUAUUGUU